CCCAAUGUGAACCAUACCAAACUGUUGCCUCGGCGGGGUCACGCCCCGGGUGCGUCGCAGCCCCGGAACCAGGCGCCCGCCGGAGGGACCAACCAAACUCUUUUCUGUAGUCCCCUCGCGGACGUUAUUUCUUACAGCUCUGAGCAAAAAUUCAAAAUGAAUCAAAACUUUCAACAACGGAUCUCUUGGUUCUGGCAUCGAUGAAGAACGCAGCGAAAUGCGAUAAGUAAUGUGAAUUGCAGAAUUCAGUGAAUCAUCGAAUCUUUGAACGCACAUUGCGCCCGCCAGUAUUCUGGCGGGCAUGCCUGUCCGAGCGUCAUUUCAACCCUCGAACCCCUCCGGGGGGUCGGCGUUGGGGACCUCGGGAGCCCCUAAGACGGGAUCCCGGCCCCGAAAUACAGUGGCGGUCUCGCCGCAGCCUCUCCUGCGCAGUAGUUUGCACAACUCGCACCGGGAGCGCGGCGCGUCCACGUCCGUAAAACACCCAACUUCUGAAAUGUUGACCUCGGAUCAGGUAGGAAUACCCGCUGAACUUAAGCAUAUCAAUAA
RNAcentral lists this ribosomal RNA (549 nucleotides) under Trichoderma sp. CJ17-733. RNAcentral describes it as "eukaryotic LSU rRNA". The stretch from base 166 to 319 matches the Rfam family "5.8S ribosomal RNA". The record is from RNAcentral. Lineage: Eukaryota; Fungi; Ascomycota; Sordariomycetes; Hypocreales; Hypocreaceae.